This 292-nucleotide ribosomal RNA is filed under the name uncultured bacterium. RNAcentral's name for it is "partial 16S ribosomal RNA". It matches the Rfam family "Bacterial small subunit ribosomal RNA", at positions 505 to 796 of the family's 1533-position model. The record is from RNAcentral.
GUGCCAGCCGCCGCGGUAAAACGUAGGAGCCAAGCGUUAUCCGAAUUCACUGGGCGUAAAGCGCGUGCAGGCGGAGCGGUAAGUUGGAUGUGAAAUCUCCCGGCUCAACUGGGAGGGGCCGUUCAAUACUACCGAUCUAGAGGGCGACAGAGGGAGGUGGAAUUCCGGGUGUAGUGGUGAAAUGCGUAGAUAUCCGGAGGAACACCAGAGGCGAAGGCGACCUCCUGGGUCGCACCUGACGCUGAGAUGCGAAAGCUAGGGGAGCGAACGGGAUUAGAUACCCGCGUAGUCC